GAGUUUGAUCCUGGCUCAGGACGAACGCUGGCGGUGCGCCUCAUACAUGCAAGUCGAGCGAAGAGGCCCUUCGGGGUACUUCAGCGGCGGACGGGUGAGUAACGCGUAGAUCACGUGCCCUUUACUGGGGGAUAACAGCGGGAAACCGCUGCUAAUACCGCAUAAGUGCUUCGGCAUUAAAGCUCCGGCGGUAAAGGAUCGGUCUGCGUCAGAUUAGCUAGUUGGUAGGGUAAAGGCCUACCAAGGCGACGAUCUGUAGUUGGUCUGAGAGGAUGACCAGCCACAGUGGGACUGAGACACGGCCCACACUCCUACGGGAGGCAGCAGUAGGGAAUCUUGCGCAAUGGGCGAAAGCCUGACGCAGCGACACCGCGUGGAGGAAGACGGAUCUAGGUCUGUAAACUCCUUUCGACAGGGAAGAAUUUUGACGGUACCUGUAGAAGAAGCACCGGCUAACUACGUGCCAGCAGCCGCGGUAAGACGUAGGGUGCAAGCGUUGUCCGGAAUUAUUGGGCGUAAAGCGUCCGUAGGCGGCGAAUUAAGUCAGAUGUUAAAUACCAGAGCUCAACUCUGGCUUGGCAUUUGAUACUGAUUUGCUAGAGUA
RNAcentral lists this ribosomal RNA (604 nucleotides) under uncultured cyanobacterium. RNAcentral's name for it is "bacterial SSU rRNA". It matches the Rfam family "Bacterial small subunit ribosomal RNA", at positions 9 to 648 of the family's 1533-position model. Lineage: Bacteria; Bacillati; Cyanobacteriota. The record is from RNAcentral.